This 198-nucleotide long non-coding RNA is filed under the name Junco hyemalis (dark-eyed junco). RNAcentral describes it as "lncRNA (ENSJHYG00000007112.1)". Lineage: Eukaryota; Metazoa; Chordata; Aves; Passeriformes; Passerellidae. The record is from RNAcentral.
GGAAUAUUGAAGCUGUACCGGGAAAGACGAGCUGGAAUUUUGCUACGAACAGAUAUCAAAAUUUUAAGGUUUCUUUUCCGAUGUGUUCUCCUCCAGCCAGUGAAUUUUGUUUCACAGACCAGUGAAAGAAAAAUUAAAAUGAAAAAGGAAAAUGAAGAAGUUAAUGAUACCAGAUUUCAGCGAAGCUGAACGGCUUCC